Molecule: ribosomal RNA, 420 nt
Filed under: uncultured bacterium
Lineage: Bacteria
Description: bacterial SSU rRNA
Rfam family: Bacterial small subunit ribosomal RNA
Source: RNAcentral
AGAGUUUGAUCCUGGCUCAGAUUGAACGCUGGCGGCAGGCCUAACACAUGCAAGUCGAACGGUAACAGGAAACAGCUUGCUGUUUCGCUGACGAGUGGCGGACGGGUGAGUAAUGUCUGGGAAACUGCCUGAUGGAGGGGGAUAACUACUGGAAACGGUAGCUAAUACCGCAUAACGUCGCAAGACCAAAGAGGGGGACCUUCGGGCCUCUUGCCAUCGGAUGUGCCCAGAUGGGAUUAGCUAGUAGGUGGGGUAACGGCUCACCUAGGCGACGAUCCCUAGCUGGUCUGAGAGGAUGACCAGCCACACUGGAACUGAGACACGGUCCAGACUCCUACGGGAGGCAGCAGUGGGGAAUAUUGCACAAUGGGCGCAAGCCUGAUGCAGCCAUGCCGCGCGUAUGAAGAAGGCCUUCGGGUU